RNAcentral lists this ribosomal RNA (405 nucleotides) under uncultured bacterium. RNAcentral describes it as "partial 16S ribosomal RNA". It matches the Rfam family "Bacterial small subunit ribosomal RNA", at positions 30 to 526 of the family's 1533-position model. The record is from RNAcentral.
AUUGAACGCUGGCGGCAGGCCUAACACAUGCAAGUCGAACGAGUGGCGGACGGGUGAGUACUGUCUGGGAAACUGCCCGAUGGAGGGGGAUAACUACUGGAAACGGUAGCUAAUACCGCAUACCAUCGGAUGUGCCCAGCUGGGGUUAGCUAGGAGGUGGGGUAAUGGCUCACCUAGGCGACGAUCCCUAGCUGGUCUGAGAGGAUGACCAGCAACACUGGACCUGAGACACGGUACAGACUCCUACGGGAGGCAGCAGUGGGGAAUAUUGCACAAAGUGCGCAAGACUGAUGCAGCCAUGCCGCGUGUAUGAAUAAGGCCUUCGGGUUGUAAAGUACUUUCAUCGGGGAGGCGUUACCCGCAGAAGAAGCACCGGCUAACUCCGUGCGAGCAGCCGCGGUAUAC